GCCCAUGUGGUGAGGCACACCAAAAUGCAAAUUUGGAGACGUACCCUAACAGGUGCCGGGGCUUCUCCCGUUUUCCCCCAGACGGGAGAAGC
RNAcentral lists this transfer RNA (92 nucleotides) under Cyrtodactylus philippinicus. RNAcentral describes it as "tRNA-Cys". Lineage: Eukaryota; Metazoa; Chordata; Lepidosauria; Squamata; Gekkonidae. The record is from RNAcentral.